This 604-nucleotide ribosomal RNA is filed under the name uncultured fungus. Its description in RNAcentral is "eukaryotic LSU rRNA". It matches the Rfam family "Eukaryotic large subunit ribosomal RNA", at positions 23 to 641 of the family's 3401-position model. The record is from RNAcentral. Lineage: Eukaryota; Fungi.
ACCCGCUGAACUUAAGCAUAUCAAUAAGCGGAGGAAAAGAAACCAACAGGGAUUGCCUUAGUAACUGCGAGUGAAGCGGCAAAAGCUCAAAUUUGAAAUCUGGUGCCUUCGGCGCCCGAGUUGUAAUUCGGAGAGACAUCUUCGGAGUAGACGCCGUCCUAAGUUCCUUGGAACAGGACGUCACAGAGGGUGAGAAUCCCGUGCCUGGAUGGCUGUUCUACUUCAUGUGAAGUGUCUUCGACGAGUCGAGUUGUUUGGGAAUGCAGCUCAAAAUGGGAGGUAAAUUUCUUCUAAAGCUAAAUAUUGGCGAGAGACCGAUAGCGCACAAGUAGAGUGAUCGAAAGAUGAAAAGCACUUUGAAAAGAGAGUUAAAAAGUACGUGAAAUUGUUGAAAGGGAAGCGCUUGAGACCAGACUCGACCAGUGGUGAUCAGCGGUGCUUCUGUGCCGUGCACUUGCCAUUGGUUGGGCCAGCAUCGGUUUGGACGGCGGGAUAAAGACCUAAGGAAUAUGGCUCCCUCCGGGGAGUGUUAUAGCCUUGAGUGCAAUGCCGCCAGUCUGGACCGAGGACCGCGCUUCGGCUAGGAUGCUGGCGUAAUGGUCUU